AGCAGUAGCCGCGGUAAUACGUAGGUGGCAAGCGUUGUCCGGAAUUAUUGGGCGUAAAGCGCGCGCAGGUGGUUUAAUAAGUCUGAUGUGAAAGCCCACGGCUCAACCGUGGAGGGUCAUUGGAAACUGUUAAACUUGAGUGCAGGAGAGAAAAGUGGAAUUCCUAGUGUAGCGGUGAAAUGCGUAGAGAUUAGGAGGAACACCAGUGGCGAAGGCGGCUUUUUGGCCUGUAACUGACACUGAGGCGCGAAAGCGUGGGGAGCAAACAGGAUUAGAUACCCGGGUAGUCCCUGUCUCUUAUAA
This 303-nucleotide ribosomal RNA is filed under the name uncultured bacterium. RNAcentral describes it as "partial 16S ribosomal RNA". It matches the Rfam family "Bacterial small subunit ribosomal RNA", at positions 507 to 809 of the family's 1533-position model. The record is from RNAcentral.